CUGCUCUGAAAUCAGAACGAGUCACUGGAGCCAAGGGGAAGUCGUUCUAGCCGUAGGUGGCAGGUGGAAGGUCGCAUAUCACAGAUUAAGAUGGCGAGGUGAGAACAAUCUGAUCCUGUGCUUGGCUUCGUACCUACUGGAGUGCAACUGUCACCGACGGACUCAUCGACACGCGCAAUUGUACAAGCACCGGUGCCGUACGAGCGACAAGGUGUCACUCAAAUGGUCGAAACAGACGAAUUUGUGGAGCUUACCCCGCCAGAGAUGACUUCCUUGAGAAGGUACUCUCGGAUCUGUGAACAAGGCGAACUGAUGCUGACUUUUCUAUGGCUCUAUGACACUAUGAUGUCAUUCACUCGACUAUAAUUACAUGAAUGGUCAAAACACGGCCACCUUCGUUGUGUAUACUGGCUUACUUCUUACAAAUCAUGACUAAAUGUUGAGAUUAGAGCCCAUAUUCAAAGGGGAGAAGAUAGGGGGUGUCUAGUGAAUUCCUCUGCGGUACUGUACGGAUGUAACAAUUUGAACAACGGCGUUUC
This 539-nucleotide unclassified non-coding RNA is filed under the name Yarrowia lipolytica. The record is from RNAcentral. Lineage: Eukaryota; Fungi; Ascomycota; Dipodascomycetes; Dipodascales.